UUGACCUCAACCCAAGUAGGAUUACCCGCCGAACUUAA
Molecule: ribosomal RNA, 38 nt
Filed under: Amanita cf. manginiana
Lineage: Eukaryota; Fungi; Basidiomycota; Agaricomycetes; Agaricales; Amanitaceae
Description: partial 28S ribosomal RNA
Source: RNAcentral